This is a non-coding RNA of Aegilops tauschii subsp. strangulata, 4018 nucleotides long. NCBI's taxonomy places the organism in Eukaryota, Viridiplantae, Streptophyta, Magnoliopsida, Poales, Poaceae. The record is from RefSeq and is a predicted model, not a curated record.
CAAAUCGGGCCUGGCAUCUCCAUCUCUCUCCCCGUCACCACUUUUUCUCCCACCUCCGGCGUCGCCGCGGCCAGGCCAUCGUGGCGGCGCGCCAACCAUUACCUCCACCAUCUCCCCACGUCACCAAGUACCUCCACGAUCUCACCAUCAGCCACCAGCGCCAUCCAUCUUCCGCCAUCAGCCACCAGCGCCACCGCAUCACCACCGCGCCUCCACCCCACGCUCGCGCGACCCACCAGACGGCCAUCUGAUCCCUCGCACGAGUCCUCUCCUCUGCUUGUGCCCGACCGCUGCUGCUCCUUCUUCCCUAGCCUCGCUGCUGCUCUUCCUUCUCCAGCUGCUGCUCCACUUCUCCAAAUCCCCAAACGGCUGCUCCUCUUUCUUACACGCCUGCUGUUGUUCUUCUUCUCCUAUCUUGAUGCACCACUACUGCUGCUCCUUGUCUCCUGCGUCCCCUGUUGCUCCUAACUUGCUGCUCCUUCCUCCCUUACCUUGCUGCUGCACUUCUCUGAAUCCGAAUCCUUACUGCUUCUCUCUCUGAAAUUUCUGUAAAAUUUAGAAGUGUAUGAUAUUUAAUAUUCAGAUUUGAAGUGUACUUGCAACCUGCUGUUUGCUCUGUUUAAGUACUUGUAUAAUAUGGUGUAUGUGAUCUGAGAUCUGACUAGUUGAGGCUUUGUUACUUUGGGAGAUACUUGAUCUAUUAUAUUUUGGUUCUACCAAUUAGUAUUCUGCUAGUAUAUGUGUGUGUGUGUGUGUGUAAUUCAUCAAAAAUAUUGUUGUGUGCUGAUGAUUAGUGUUCAGUUUACUGUUCUUGUGAUAUAUACACAUAUGUGUGUGUUAUGUUCAUGUCCUUUUUACUUCUCUUGUCAUUGAUGUUAGCUUGUGUUAGUAUCUUAAUUUCUCAAGUAUUACAAAAAUACCAAAAAGAAAGUUAGUAAAAUCUGAAUCUACCUUUGCUUAUUCGCAUUUUCAUUCGCGACAAUCUUGAUAGUUUAGGUUUAUUUUUUGUUCCCAUCAUAUGAAUUGUAUUACCUAGCUUUAGCCGAAUAUAGUUGCCGUCGCCUAGUCCCUGAGGAGAAAACAACACUCGCAGUUUGGGCGAAAAACCCCACUUUACCUACAAAACGAUCAUUUUGGCGCCGUUGCCGGGGACUAGCGUCUAGUGAUUUUGUUUGGCUAUAGACUAGAUUUUACUUGUUCUCUCUUUUUUCCAUAUAUUUGUGAUAUAUCUCUUACCCCUAACCACUGUUCUAGUUAUCUUCUCUUUCUUUUCUUGUUCAUUUUGUAGAUUGUAUUGUCUUCGGGUAUGGCUUACUAUUCAGAUCAUCAUGCUUAUGCGAGUAACACUACAAAUAGCACGGAAAGUAUUCAAGAACUGAUAAGGAAUUAGGUACAAUGAGAAGAGCAACAACUAUGCACCACAACAAUUUUAUUCAGCUCCUAUUCAUAUACCUCAGAACCAGGAGAUGUUGCCAAUGAGGUUUAAAUGGUCCUCCAUUUGGUCAACCAAUACCUUCAACACAAGUGCCCACACAAGAUGAUUUUGUUGAUAUAGACAAGCUCACAUUGCUUAGUCUCGAGUUCACUUGGAGUGCUGAAGAUGAUCCAAUUAGGCCGGUGAUACUAGAGGAAAUGAAGAAGAUCAAGAGUGGAAAAGAGAUAGUGGAAGAAGUAAGGAAGAUUGAGAAGAACAUCAACGCCGGCAGCACUAUUUCUUCACAGCUAGAGCUGAGUAUUUUUGGGAUAUCCAUUGAGGUGUGUAAGUUUCCAACACCGUCACAUCCAGCUGAGCAAGAUAGGAAGAGUCUAGAGGAAGAGAUACCUCAAAUUGAAGAAGAUGAACUCAAAGACAAGGAACAAGAGGAUCCAGAGCUCGAAAGCCCAAGAAAUCAAGUUGAAGACUCAUCACCUAUUACUCUUGAAGAAGUAGAAGAAGCUGUUGUAGUUGAAGAUGAAGAACCAGAAAUUCAUUUGCUGAUUGUCAUAUAAGAGCGUGAUGUAGCAGGUUUGUCUAAUCCUCUUGCUGACAUGCGUCCAUAUGAUCUGUUUGCUACUACUUUGCAUUGCAUGAUACCAUCAAUUAAGCUAGACCUGAAAAACUGUUUGCUUGGACAUGAUCAUACAUACCCUGUUAUUGGCAUUUCUCUCAUUUAUGAUGACACUUAUUCUCCUUAUGCUAGUCCUAUGCUUAAUGAAACAUAUCAUUCCCAUGCUAGUCUUGAGUUUAAUGAUAAAUUUCAUCCUCAUGUUAGUGUCGACCUUGCUGAUUUCUACCAUCCUAAACAUGUGUUUUAUAGCUAUGCUUAUUUAAUUGGAUACUCAAUUGAUGACUUAGAGGGUAUUAUCCCUACCACUUGCAUUGUCUCUUUUGUUGAGUGCCUUUUCAGGUUUUUGCUUCUGCAUCAUUCACUUCAUGCUGACCAGGUUCGAGGUGACAUUCCUUGGGACCCUGGUGGACCCAAAGCAUGGCGAUGAGGAGAAGCUAUGGGGCACACACGAAGAAGAGUCAAGCUUGAGCAUCCACGAGGAAGCAAAGGAGAAGAGCUGCAGUUGGUGAGAUGAUUGAGCGAGUGCUACACCAUCAAAGCCCGGUGAGCUGUUUCUUGACCCAUUCUAAAUAUAUCAUCCAUUAUUCAUGCUAAAAUCAAUUGCUAUUUGGGUUGUUUGUGCCAUUUCUUAAAUGUUGUCCAACUGAAUUUCACCUUUGACAUAUGGUGCUUGAUGAGAAUAUGCGAACUGAUUUUUGAAUGCCUUGUAAACUAGUGAUCUACACCCUGUUUGCUUUGCUGAAAGUAGUGAAAUCUAUUAGUUUUGAGUGCUCAAAUCCCUAGUGCACUAGUAAACUUAAUCAUUUUAUGCUUUUACCUUGAAACACUUAGAUCAUUAAGUGUUAGAUGCUGAGUUUGUGCCUAUUGUGUUCCCAUUGAGAGCAAUCACUUUACCACCAUGGACUAGUAUGCUAUGUUUCCUGGAUUGGUAGCAUGUGAACCAGACAUGGAGAAGUGAUGAUUCCUGUUUUUGUGCUUAUGCGUUGUUCAUUUAAGAUAAGUAAUAAUGAAUGAAUAAGUCUGAAUACCUACAGUAGCAUGUCAUGCUCCCUUGAUCGGUGGCAUGUGAAAUCAUGUUAGCUUGGGCAGUAAUUAAUAUUAAAAAAUGUAAUUGUCGAACCAGGUGUAUACCAUGUUCUCUGGAUCGGUGGUAUGUUCCUUUGGGGAGACAAACAAAAAAACUAAUAAUUGGUCGAGCCGGGUGUAUACCAUGUUCUCAGGAUCGGUGGCAUGUUCCUAUGGUGAGACUAAUAAUAAUAUAAUCAUUUCUUUAUCUCUGUAAAUAAGUGACUUGAUCACAAGAUUUAAUUCCAGUUCUUUUUGUUCUCGGGAUCAUGCUCUCUUUAGGAACCAUUUGGCAUGGUCAUCAUUUAAACUUGUUGAUCUUCUUUAUCAUUGUAGAAGUUUUAAAUGAUUGAGUCUACUAGUAUCCUACUGCUUUGUAACACUCUUAACCAUUAAUUUUCACUAGCAAAGUCCAAAAGCAUGCAUUCUUUGGAGAUCUAUUUUACCAGGACAUUCUUUACUCAGCUCACUGUUCACAUUCUUGCUCUUGUCAUAUGCCUUUGCUUGAGGACAAGCAAAGAUUUAAGUGUGGGGGAACUUGAUAAGCACAUUUCAUAUAAAUCUUUUGGCACUCAAAUAUGCGGUUUAUUGAGAUAUGACCAUCAAUUCUUGCUGUGAAAUAUUGAAUAUUUGCAUGAAAAUCAUAUAAAGAAUCAUUUACUAGUUAUUUGUUUCUUUUGCAGAGAAGUGCGAGAAGGCACUAUAAACUUCAAGAUCCGGACUAGGUGGCUAAGGGAACGAAGAAGAGGAGGAAGAAUGGACUUGUGCGAGAAGAAACGAAGUAACCAGGGGGCCAACUAUACAAGAGAGGAUCAUCUUGUGCUAAAAGUAAAGGAGGAGGGACAAAUUGCAAUAUGGGAUGAUCAACCGUGGGGUCAAAAUCCCUAGAUGCCUUCAUUCCCAAA